Molecule: ribosomal RNA, 497 nt
Filed under: uncultured bacterium
Lineage: Bacteria
Description: partial 16S ribosomal RNA
Rfam family: Bacterial small subunit ribosomal RNA
Source: RNAcentral
GAUGAACGCUGGCGGCGUGCCUAAUACAUGCCAGUCGAGCGAACAGACGAGGAGCUUGCUCCUCUGACGUUGGCGGCGGACGGGUGAGUGACGCGUAGAUAACCAACCUAUUUUACUGGGAUAACUUCGGGAAACCGGAGCUAAUACCUCAUAAUAUAUUGAACCGCAGGGUUCAAGCGUUAAUGGCGGUUUUGCUGUCAGUUAUAGAUGGAGCCGAGUCGCAUUAUCUAGUUGGUAAGGUAACGGCUUACCAAGGCAACGAUGCGUAGCCGACCUGAGAGGGUGAUCGGCCACACUGGAACUGAGACACGGUCCAGACUCCUACGGGAGGCAGCAGUAGGGAAUCUUCCGCAAUGGGCGCAGGCCUGACCCAGCAACGCCGCGUGAGUGAUGAAGGUCUUCGGAUCGUAAAACUCUGUUAUUAGGGAAGAACAAAAGUGUAAGUAACUAUGAACGUCUUGACGGUACCUAAUGAGAAAGCAACGGCUAACUACGUG